RNAcentral lists this transfer RNA (73 nucleotides) under Scomberomorus brasiliensis (Serra Spanish mackerel). RNAcentral describes it as "tRNA-Leu". It matches the Rfam family "tRNA". From Rfam's summary of the family: Transfer RNA (tRNA) molecules are approximately 80 nucleotides in length. Their secondary structure includes four short double-helical elements and three loops (D, anti-codon, and T loops). Lineage: Eukaryota; Metazoa; Chordata; Actinopteri; Scombriformes; Scombridae. RNAcentral also lists the same sequence under 7 other names. The record is from RNAcentral.
GCUUCUAAAGGAUAACAGCUCAUCCACUGGUCUUAGGAACCAGAGACUCUUGGUGCAAAUCCAAGUAGCAGCU